UUGGUUUAAAUCAUUGCAGAUCUACACUUUGAAAAUAGAACUCGCAUAAAGUGGUGGGACAUACAUUGAUUUCAUCCAA
RNAcentral lists this microRNA precursor (79 nucleotides) under Medicago truncatula (barrel medic). RNAcentral describes it as "MIR5269 microRNA precursor family". It matches the Rfam family "MIR5269 microRNA precursor family". Lineage: Eukaryota; Viridiplantae; Streptophyta; Magnoliopsida; Fabales; Fabaceae. The record is from Rfam by way of RNAcentral.